GCCGUCUUAGCUCAGUCGGUAGAGCGCGUGACUUGUAAUCUCGAGGUCUUCGGUUCAAAUCCGAAAGACGGCU
This 73-nucleotide transfer RNA is filed under the name Treponema sp. RNAcentral describes it as "tRNA-Thr". It matches the Rfam family "tRNA". From Rfam's summary of the family: Transfer RNA (tRNA) molecules are approximately 80 nucleotides in length. Lineage: Bacteria; Pseudomonadati; Spirochaetota; Spirochaetia; Treponematales; Treponemataceae. The record is from RNAcentral.